RNAcentral lists this ribosomal RNA (446 nucleotides) under uncultured bacterium. Its description in RNAcentral is "partial 16S ribosomal RNA". It matches the Rfam family "Bacterial small subunit ribosomal RNA", at positions 338 to 795 of the family's 1533-position model. The record is from RNAcentral.
CCUACGGGGGGCAGCAGUCGAGAAUCAUUCACAAUGGGGGAAACCCUGAUGGUGCGACGCCGCGUGGGGGAAUGAAGGUCUUCGGAUUGUAAACCCCUGUCAUGUGGGAGCAAAUUAAAAAGAUAGUACCACAAGAGGAAGAGAAGGCUAACUCUGUGCCAGCAGCCGCGGUAAUACAGAGUUCUCAAGCGUUGUUCGGAAUCACUGGGCGUAAAGCGUGCGUAGGCUGUUUAGUAAGUAGUGUGUGAAAGGCGCGGGCUCAACCCGCGGACGGCACAUGAUACUGCGAGACUAGAGUAAGGGAGGGGGAACCGGAAUUCUCGGUGUAGCAGUGAAAUGCGUAGAUAUCGAGAGGAACACUCGUGGCGAAGGCGGGUUCCUGGACAUUAACUGACGCUGAGGCACGAAGGCCAGGGGAGCGAAAGGGAUUAGAUACCCUUGUAGUC